Molecule: ribosomal RNA, 253 nt
Filed under: uncultured bacterium
Lineage: Bacteria
Description: partial 16S ribosomal RNA
Rfam family: Bacterial small subunit ribosomal RNA
Source: RNAcentral
UACGUAGGGGGCGAGCGUUGUCCGGAUUUAUUGGGCGUAAAGCGCGCGUAGGCGGCCCUGUAAGUCCGUUGUGAAAGUCAAAGGCUCAACCUUUGAAAGCCGAUGGAUACUGCAGGGCUAGAGUCCGGAAGAGGCGAGUGGAAUUCCUGGUGUAGCGGUGGAAUGCGGAGAUAUCAGGAGGAACACCAAUAGCGAAGGCAGCUCGCUGGGACGGUACUGACGCUAAGGCGCGAAAGCGUGGGGAGCGAACAGG